This 1170-nucleotide long non-coding RNA is filed under the name Helianthus annuus (common sunflower). RNAcentral describes it as "hypothetical non coding rna". The record is from RNAcentral. Lineage: Eukaryota; Viridiplantae; Streptophyta; Magnoliopsida; Asterales; Asteraceae.
GGGUUUCUGGCAAUAUUCUCCGGCGCCGCCAUUCCGACGAUCUAAUUCCGACCUCCACUGUUGCCGGGACAACAUCUUCUUCCUCCGCUUUUUCCACCAUCACCGUGUUCUACCAUCAAUAGACCACUUCCCCGUCGCCUCAUUCACUUUGAACAUCACCGCCGUGCAUCAACCACCUCCGGCCACUAACACCGAAAACCACAACCAUCACACAACCUCUGCCGUCCUCUACAAACACCACCACACCACUGAACCUCCGUAUAACUGUCUCCUACUACACCCACCGGAGAACACCCACGACCACCGCACCUUAAACACCAAACGACUCCCUCCGCCGUUCACCUUUCCAAACACCAUCCAGAGACCCUCUCGUUCCACUCAGUCGUACCAUAACUCCCCGUACUCUACCUUUCAACCACCACUUCAACCACCGUUAAUCUCCAUCCGCUCGCUACCACACUUCCCACCAUCAGCAUCAUCACUCACAACCGUAAUAAAUUGUUCAAACACCACCACUUCACCGUAAACCACCGGUCACCGCCUGUCGCCGCCGUCCCCUCGCUCCGGUUACCACCACCGCACUUCACCGUCGUUCCCCCUUAACCACCGUACCAUCAUCAUCUUACACCUCCACCAUCAAACUGCGAACAACCACCCAACGGUCGACAUUCACCACCGUUGCUGCUGUUGUUGUCUUAGAAAAGGAGUAGAAGAAAACAUCGUAGAGAAAGAAAUUUGUUGAUGAUCUAGUGUUGUUGAGAGUAAAUUGAAAGAAGAGAGAGAGAGGCAUAGAGAGGUGGCGGCUGAAUUUUUAAUUUUUAAGAUUAGGGUUUGUAUGUUCAAAGGCAAUCCUCAUUUUGUUUAACCUAAAAGUUAAUUGGGCUAAAUUUAGAAUAUAACAUUGGUGGGCCAUAGAUAAAAGUUCAACACUAUAAAAGCAAACAAAUUUUUUUUUUAUAUUAUCGUGUAAAUAGUGUCAAAAGAAAUAGCAGGUCUUGGUAAAUGAUAACUUUGAUAUGUUGAGCAAGGCAUAUUUUGAAAAGUGAACUUAACAUUUAAAAUUAAACUCCACUAUAUUUGUUGAGCUGAAUAUAAAAUUCGUUGAUUUCUAACAUAAAUGACAAAAGUUUUUGAAGCUAGCUUUUAAUACAAUUUUGGGAACCAAUUUUU